This 460-nucleotide ribosomal RNA is filed under the name uncultured bacterium. RNAcentral describes it as "partial 16S ribosomal RNA". It matches the Rfam family "Bacterial small subunit ribosomal RNA", at positions 338 to 795 of the family's 1533-position model. The record is from RNAcentral.
CCUACGGGAGGCAGCAGUGAGGAAUAUUGGUCAAUGGGCGCUAGCCUGAACCAGCCAAGUAGCGUGAAGGAUGACUGCCCUAUGGGUUGUAAACUUCUUUUAUAUGGGAAUAAAGUGCAGUAUAUAUACUGCUUUGCAUGUACCUUAUGAAUAAGGAUCGGCUAACUCCGUGCCAGCAGCCGCGGUAAUACGGAGGAUCCGAGCGUUAUCCGGAUUUAUUGGGUUUAAAGGGAGCGUAGGCGGGUUGUUAAGUCAGUUGUGAAAGUUUGCGGCUCAACCGUAAAAUUGCAGUUGAUACUGGCAGCCUUGAGUACAGUAGAGGUAGGCGGAAUUCGUGGUGUAGCGGUGAAAUGCUUAGAUAUCACGAAGAACUCCGAUUGCGAAGGCAGCCUGCUGGACUGUAACUGACGCUGAUGCUCGAAAGUGUGGGUAUCAAACAGGAUUAGAUACCCCAGUAGUC